RNAcentral lists this ribosomal RNA (447 nucleotides) under uncultured bacterium. Its description in RNAcentral is "partial 16S ribosomal RNA". It matches the Rfam family "Bacterial small subunit ribosomal RNA", at positions 29 to 523 of the family's 1533-position model. The record is from RNAcentral.
AACGAACGCUGGCGGCAGGCUUAACACAUGCAAGUCGAACGCAUCGCAAGAUGAGUGGCAGACGGGUGAGUAACGCGUGGGAACAUACCCUUUUCUACGGAAUAGCUCUGGGAAACUGGAAUUAAUACCGUAUACGCCCUACGGGGGAAAGAUUUAUCGGGGAAUGAUUGGCCCGCGUUGGAUUAGCUAGUUGGUGGGGUAAAGGCCUACCAAGGCGACGAUCCAUAGCUGGUCUGAGAGGAUGAUCAGCCACAUUGGGACUGAGACACGGCCCAAGCGUCUACGGGAGGCAGCAGUGGGGAAUAUUGGACAAUGGGCGCAAGCCUGAUCCAGCCAUGCCGCGUGAGUGAUGAAGGCCUUAGGGUUGUAAAGCUCUUUCACCGAUGAAGAUAAUGACGGUAGUCGGAGAAGAAGCCCCGGCUAACUUCGUGCCAGCCGCCGCUGUAA